CAGCACUUAAUCAUUUCCCCGAUUGCCAGCGCCAUGUGCUGGGAGCGGUGCUGGCUGUAACCCGGCGAGCCUGAGGCCGCCGCUGCAGCCCGGGGAGCUGAUGGCAGAAGCACACCACACGUGGAGUUUAAUUAUUGGCUUUCUUCCUUAACAGAGUACAUUGGCUGACCUUAAUGCAAUUAAUUAGGGCUUAAUCAACUUCUGGUGGCUCUGCACGGCACACAGUGAUUCCUGCCUUUCCAGGAGGGUUUAUAAGAAGUUAAAGCGGUAGAGGGGAGGGUGUGGUGUUGUUUGUGGGUUUUGUGGGGCUGUGCUGAUAAGUAAAGUUAGUCAGGAAUUUGGGUUGAAUUUGUGUCUUCCCGGGCUGGGCUUGUUGUUUGACAUGCUAGUAAAGGCAGGGGAGAGGACAGGGUAGUGCUGUUGCUUCAUCCUUUUCCAAAGUCUUGCCUCCUUGAGAAAGGGUUUGUCCCGUGGGAACUUCAAACCACUAAAUAUGUGUGGUUGAGGCAGGGAAACUUUUGCCAAGAGAAGUUGUACUCCGGUGGGAUGCUGCCUUGGGAAGGGACAACCCUGCUGCAUCCAAACCUGAGCCCUCUAUGGCAAAUUCUCUGCCACCAAACUCCAGUGAGGACCUGUGGGAGACACUCCACUGCUGCCAGCUGGCCUUGGUUGCUGUGGGAAGGAUUAAUGGCACAUCCAGCUGAUGAUCCCACAAUUGCUGACUUGGUUUGGAGGCAGUUCAGGAGCGAUGGCAGACCCGGCGCUGCCCUCACGGUGCUGGGUUCUCUCCGGUGGUGGUCACUUGUGAGUGUCUCCUCCCUGCCACCCUAAUGCCCGACACCAUUCCCUUCCUGGGUGGGUUUUGCUGGGGAUUUUGGGUGGGUCAAGCCCCUUAAGCUGUGGGAUUUGUGCUUUUUAUUUAGAGUCACAGUGCCUGAUCUGGCAAAUGCUGUGGCACAGCCUGGCCUAGGGAAAGCCAGGGCUGUCCCCCUCUACAGUGGGAAUGACCCCUCCAGCCUCCCAAAACGUGGCAGAGAUGUGGUUUGACAGCUCUUGGGGAAGAAAGGUGAGAGCCUUGGAAAUACUGAUGUGGAAAGCCAACCCACCCGCCCCAGUUUUGCAUUGAAGAAAGCUUCUGUGUGGAUGGAUUCCCCCUUCCUUGGGGGUCUGGCAGCCCCCUGCCUGCACUGCCCCAGGGAGGGGACAUGUGGAGACCCUUUCCUCAGGACUCCUGCCAUCCACCAUUCAGCGUGGGCAGGGACAUCCCAGAGGGAUAUGUGGAGAGUCCACCCUGCUGCACAGCUCCAGUCCCUAGAGAAACCCAGGCACUGGGGAUGGAGGAAGGCUUCUGGGAGUGUUUGGAAGAGUGUUGAUGUUCCCAGUGCUACCCUGUGGCAUGGAAAGGCAGCCUGAGGCUUAAAAUUCCUCCUGCUGGCUUAAGGGGAGCCCAGGUUGAUGGCUCUGGGGUGGCUCAGCCCCUCUGGAGUUGCUUAAGACAACACUCUGGCGCUGGUUGGCUGUGUUCUCCUGGACAAAGAGUUUUUUGGUGCUGUGUGGCAACCAGAGAGUGUAUUGUUACUUUGGGGGGGAGGGGNNNNNNNNNNNNNNNNNNNNUUUUUUUUUUUUUUUU
Long non-coding RNA from Cyanistes caeruleus (blue tit), 1630 nucleotides. NCBI's taxonomy places the organism in Eukaryota, Metazoa, Chordata, Aves, Passeriformes, Paridae. The record is from Ensembl.